CCUGUAUGGUAAAGAAUCUGCCUGUAAAGCAGGAGACCCAGGUUCAAUCCCUGG
RNAcentral lists this transfer RNA (54 nucleotides) under Ovis aries (sheep). It matches the Rfam family "tRNA", at positions 10 to 63 of the family's 71-position model. From Rfam's summary of the family: Transfer RNA (tRNA) molecules are approximately 80 nucleotides in length. Their secondary structure includes four short double-helical elements and three loops (D, anti-codon, and T loops). Further hydrogen bonds mediate the characteristic L-shaped molecular structure. tRNAs have two regions of fundamental functional importance: the anti-codon, which is responsible for specific mRNA codon recognition, and the 3' end, to which the tRNAs corresponding amino acid is attached (by aminoacyl-tRNA synthetases). tRNAs cope with the degeneracy of the genetic code in two manners: having more than one tRNA (with a specific anti-codon) for a particular amino acid; and 'wobble' base-pairing, i.e. permitting non-standard base-pairing at the 3rd anti-codon position. Lineage: Eukaryota; Metazoa; Chordata; Mammalia; Artiodactyla; Bovidae. The record is from Rfam by way of RNAcentral.